RNAcentral lists this ribosomal RNA (253 nucleotides) under uncultured bacterium. RNAcentral describes it as "partial 16S ribosomal RNA". It matches the Rfam family "Bacterial small subunit ribosomal RNA", at positions 524 to 776 of the family's 1533-position model. The record is from RNAcentral.
UACAGAGGUCUCAAGCGUUGUUCGGAAUUACUGGGCGUAAAGGGUGCGCAGGCCGCGCGGGCAGUCAAAUGUGUAAUCCAGGGGCUCAACCCCUGAACUGCGCUUGAUACUUCCGCGCUCGAGCUUUGGAGAGGAGUCUGGAAUUCUCGGUGUAGCAGUGAAAUGCGUGGAUAUCGAGAAGAACACUUAGGGCGAAAGCAAGACUCUGGACAAAUGCUGACGCUCAUGCACGAAGGCUAGGGUAGCGAACGGG